UUAUGGCCCAAAGAAGAAGAAGGAACAUCUGGAUAUGGAAACUGAGCAGGUGGACAUGGCAGAAGAUGGAAACAAUCUUUCAGUCGGAACAGAGUAAAAAACUGAAGCUGGUCUGAAAACCUGGAAAGGCACAGAAAUCAAAGCAGCGCCUCCUAUCAAAAAAAACAACCGCCUUUCAUUCAACAUGUACGCAGAGACGGGGCAUGAGGGAGAAGAGAAAGUAGGACCCAGUUGCCAUGGCGAUCCAAUCAGCUUGAAACAUUUGGUCUGGUGGGUUGCUGUGAGCGUUUCUUACCUGCAUUAUAAACACGUAUACAAACAUGGAGACGCAUUUAAUCUGCACAUGACUGGACGUUUAAUGAACUGUGGCUGCAACACUUAUGUAAUUAUGUAUCUAUCUUUCCACCAUGA
This is a long non-coding RNA of Solea senegalensis (Senegalese sole), 411 nucleotides long. RefSeq lists it as uncharacterized. The transcript is spliced from 3 exons. NCBI's taxonomy places the organism in Eukaryota, Metazoa, Chordata, Actinopteri, Pleuronectiformes, Soleidae. The record is from RefSeq and is a predicted model, not a curated record.